AAGAGGUAAAACAUUGUGUUUCUAUAUAGUACUGUAUCUGAAAGAGGUAAAACAUUGUGUUUCUAUAUAGUACUGUAUCUGAAAGAGCAGAUUCUGCAGGUAAAACAUUGUGUUUCUAUAUAAUACUGUAUCUGAAAGAGCAGAUUCUGUAGGUAAAACAUUGUGUUUCUAUAUAGUACUGUAUCUGAAAGAGGUAAAACAUUGUGUUUCUAUAUAAUACUGUAUCUGAAAGAGGUAAAACAUUGUGUUUCUAUAUAGUACUGUAUCUGAAAGAGGUAAAACAUUGUGUUUCUAUAUAGUACUGUAUCUGAAAGAGGUAAAACAUUGUGUUUCUAUAUAAUACUGUAUCUGAUAGAGCAGAUUCUGCAGGUAAAACAUUGUGUUUCUAUAUAAUACUGUAUCUGAAAGAGCAGAUUCUGUAGGUAAAACAUUGUGUUUCUAUAUAGUACUGUAUCUGAAAGAGCAGAUUCUGCAGGUAAAACAUUGUGUUUCUAUAUAGUACUGUAUCUGAAAGAGCAGAUUCUGUAGGUAAAACAUUGUGUUUCUAUAUAAUACUGUAUCUGAAAGAGCAGAUUCUGCAGGUAAAACAUUGUGUUUCUAUAUAGUACUGUAUCUGAAAGAGGUAAAACAUUGUGUUUCUAUAUAGUACUGUAUCUGAAAGAGCAGAUUCUGCAGGUAAAACAUUGUGUUUCUAUAUAGUACUGUAUCUGAAAGAGCAGAUUCUGUAGGUAAAACAUUGUGUUUCUAUAUAAUACUGUAUCUGAAAGAGCAGAUUCUGCAGGUAAAACAUUGUGUUUCUAUAUAGUACUGUAUCUGAAAGAGCAGAUUAUGUAGGUAAAACAUUGUGUUUCUAUAUAGUACUGUAUCUG
This is a long non-coding RNA of Salvelinus fontinalis (brook trout), 869 nucleotides long. RefSeq lists it as uncharacterized. NCBI's taxonomy places the organism in Eukaryota, Metazoa, Chordata, Actinopteri, Salmoniformes, Salmonidae. The record is from RefSeq and is a predicted model, not a curated record. The transcript has 8 exons.